UUUGUUUUUUUUAGUAAACAAAAGUAAGAGAAACAAUGAUGUAUAAUUCAAGCAUGCUUGGUGAUCUCAAACCAAUCACAAGGAGUCCCACCCAAAGGCAAAGGGAACCAAGAUGCUCAUGAUCCUUGAGGCUAUGCAAAUGCAAUGUUAUGAUUCCAUGAGGGAUCUUAGGGUCAAAAUUGGGGUCUUACAGAUCCGUAAACGGAGAAAUCAUCCAUGAACACCUCAAUG
RNAcentral lists this long non-coding RNA (231 nucleotides) under Lathyrus oleraceus (garden pea). RNAcentral describes it as "Pisum sativum (pea) long non-coding RNA (PSAT_LNC031062)". The record is from RNAcentral. Lineage: Eukaryota; Viridiplantae; Streptophyta; Magnoliopsida; Fabales; Fabaceae.